UACGAAGGGGGCUAGCGUUGCUCGGAAUCACUGGGCGUAAAGGGUGCGUAGGCGGGUCUUUAAGUCAGGGGUGAAAUCCUGGAGCUCAACUCCAGAACUGCCUUUGAUACUGAAGAUCUUGAGUUCGGGAGAGGUGAGUGGAACUGCGAGUGUAGAGGUGAAAUUCGUAGAUAUUCGCAAGAACACCAGUGGCGAAGGCGGCUCACUGGCCCGGUACUGACGCUGAGGAGCGAAAGCGUGGGGAGCGAACAGG
RNAcentral lists this ribosomal RNA (253 nucleotides) under uncultured bacterium. RNAcentral describes it as "partial 16S ribosomal RNA". It matches the Rfam family "Bacterial small subunit ribosomal RNA", at positions 524 to 776 of the family's 1533-position model. The record is from RNAcentral.